Molecule: ribosomal RNA, 500 nt
Filed under: uncultured bacterium
Lineage: Bacteria
Description: partial 16S ribosomal RNA
Rfam family: Bacterial small subunit ribosomal RNA
Source: RNAcentral
AUUGAACGCUGGCGGAAUGCUUUACACAUGCAAGUCGAACGAUGAACCUUAGCUUGCUAAGGGGAUUAGUGGCGAACGGGUGAGUAAUGCAUCGGAACGUAUCCAAUAAUGGGGGAUAACUAGUCGAAAGAUUAGCUAAUACCGCAUACGUCCUACGGGAGAAAGCUAGGGACCUUCGGGCCUGGCGUUAAUGGAGCGGCCGAUAUCUGAUUAGCUAGUUGGUGGGGUAAAGGCUCACCAAGGCGACGAUCAGUAGCUGGUCUGAGAGGACGACCAGCCACACUGGAACUGAGACACGGUCCAGACUCCUACGGGAGGCAGCAGUGGGGAAUUUUGGACAAUGGGCGAAAGCCUGAUCCAGCCAUUCCGCGUGAGUGAAGAAGGCCUUCGGGUUGUAAAGCUCUUUCGCAAGAGAAGAAAACUUAAGCUCUAACAUAGCUUGAAGUUGACGGUACCUUGAUAAGAAGCACCGGCUAACUACGUGCCAGCCGCCGCGGUAA